RNAcentral lists this long non-coding RNA (7377 nucleotides) under Homo sapiens (human). RNAcentral describes it as "HSALNT0341915". Lineage: Eukaryota; Metazoa; Chordata; Mammalia; Primates; Hominidae. The record is from RNAcentral.
CAUUGUUUUCGAAAGUUAGUUAAAACCAUGUUAAUGGUUUGAUUUGUGAAGCAGGGAACCAACACCAGCAUUUUUCAUGCCUUUUUUCACCUUUUCUAAUAAGUUCUCAGAGCCUUUGGAUUUUACCAUUGAUUAUGGUAAGGUUCUUGGCACAUAACAUACUUGUUAGAUAAAUAUAUUUUAAACCAAACUAAGUAUGAGUAGAAGAUGAAUCACAAAAAUGACUUACUUAAGGAAGUAAUAAAUUUUGUGUGUGUGGGGGGGGUUAAAUAAGGCAAGGCAGCAUUGAUUCUCUGAAAGAUACUUUCUGUAAAAAUAAUAACAUCAUUUAUGAUUUGAGACAUUCUACUUGGCCUCAGUACACUGGAGACCUUUAACUUCCCCAAAGUAUAGGUUUAUCAUCAAUGAUGCUAGGAUCCAUACAAAAACUGAAGAGGGAUUAUAGAGAAUUCAAGGGAAGAUAAUUUCAGAUGAGUCCAAUCUAUCACCCCACAAGGGCUAACAAUUGUUAUAUUACUUUUACCUCUUCCCUGUCACCAUGGCAUACUGAUUGGCUGGGGAGAUGGCAUACUGAUUAGAUGGAUUAACUGAUAUGAACUAGAAAGGCUGGACUGAAACAGAUUGGUGGAGAAGACAACAUGGAGCUUACUUUCUGAGAUUCAAAAGCCCCGAAGAAAGUCCAGAGAGGAUAACUCAGGAUUAUCACUAAAGGGCCUAUAUUUUAUUUCACGAUAGGUCAGAACAGCUACAGACUCCUGAGUCACCCUCACUUUCGGUAUUUCCUCUGAAAAUUCCCUUCUCUGCAAGAUCAACUAGCAAAAAGAACUAAUGACCAUACAAAGCAAAUGUCAUUAGGAAUGAAGGCUAUUUAGUAUCAGAGAAUAUUUAUAUCCCAUGAGUAAUUUAUUAACUCAAGGACAGCUCCAACAUGUAGAUUACACAGGGGAAAGAUUUUUGAGAGGAAAGGACCUUCUGGUGCUGUUUGACAGUCUUAGUACCUAUAAUCUAUUUUCCAACAAUUGUUACCAAGAAUAAAAACAGAGACAUAUUGAAAAACAUGUUAGCCACAUACCAUACACCCUACUUUUCCUCAUUUGUGCAUGAGGUUCUCUACUAGACUCUGAAUGAAACCACCAUUGCCAUAGGAUAGAAGGUGUUCUGCAAAUGUCAAUAUUCAAAACUGUGGAGAAUCCCUUUAAGUUACUUUACAUAUAGUCCAGGAAGUAAAUUCCAGACAAAUAAAUCAUUUUGGAGUCACAGCUUCUAUUAUUGUGUCACACAUACACAGGAAAAAUGAAGUUCUUUUCAGAAGACUCAUCCUCUUCAGAAACCUAUAGAGUUACUUUUGCCAAGAAACAUACUUCUUUAGAACUUCUUAGUUCUGUCUUUAAUUUUAUGAUGUACAGUACUAGACGAAUGAAGAGCUUGUGAAGUAUGUUAAUGAAAGUGAAAGACUUCACAGUGGGCAGCUGCACUGCAAACCCCACAGCUAAACAGCAUUAUUUAAUGAAAGAAUGGAGGCUGGUGGAAGAGGACACUCUUGUGAGGCCUACAUUGCUGAGACUAGAUAGAUCCUAAGCAGAGGCAAGAAGGAUAUACAGUCAUAGCAGGAUUCAAUUUGGCGGCAACAGUGCGUAUUCAGCAGCAUUACUCAGUCAACAUGUCCUGACGGUGUGUGGAGUGACCUUCUAGAUUUUGUGGGGAGUGAUGAUGGCAAUAUUUCCUGGAGAAGCACGCUCAAUAAAGGAGAAAUGGGAUUAACACAACUGUGACAAAACUGCACUAAGUGAUUGGAAAGUAGGAAGCAUGUGGGCAAAUGAAUAGGCUACUGGCCUGAUUAAACCAGGAAAUCUCAAGCAGCACUGGAGUUCUGAAAGAAUUAAGGGGUGUGGCUGGUGGAAAGCUGACAAAACUCCCUCAGAGGGGGCAAUAGCAUGGAUAUGAAAUAGAAAUCAGCUAAAAAUAUUUAUUGUGUCCAUUGUACUAUAUACCAGUCAUUAAAAACAUGUGAAAUAGAGACAUUUUUAUAAGCUUGUAGGAGAACAUUAUAUGCUUUCAUGGAAGAAAGACAACGUAUUAUAGUCAUUCAAAAAUGGAUGUCAAGUAAUAUAGUGAAUAUAGAUACCCAAUUGCAGAGGUAAAGCUCAGUUGUGUAGAAAGAGCUUUAGAGUUGGGUCAGGUGAAAGAGAUAAAGGGAGAAAUGCUCUAUGAUAUGACUUAUAGAUGAAGUCUGGGGAUAACAGAAAUAUUCUAGGAACGGGAUGAUGGUGAAUAUAUUGCUGCUCGUGAAGACAAUUCUAAUAAAAAAAUGCGUGGCUUGGAAAACAUACUUGCUUAGUUAGAUGGCUUGUUUGGGCUAUGAUGAUAAAUUAGGUGGAUUCGUUAGGUAAUACACUUGACUUUAUAAAUAACCAACUGUAAAAUCUAAACAUUUACAUAAAUUUAUCAUGACUGUCUUAACAUGUGUUGUGUGCUUCUGAGUUUUCCGCUUCUCUUCCAUUUUGCCAAAUGAAAAAUCUGUCUCAAAUCCAAUUCUCCUACCGCUCUCUAAAGUGUUUGACCCUACAGCAGUCUUCUGGUUCUUCAACUAUGUCCUCUCUUUGGUUCUAUGACAUUAUAUCACCCUGGAGCUUACAUAGGCUGAUUAUUCUUUCCUGUCUUCCUUCAUUGAUUCCAUUUGCAGUUUAUGAGCCCCGAAAUUUGGGCAUAGGUCCCCAUAUUCAUCUCAACUUUCUUUUAUCAAUGUAUACUGUCAUGGUGGCACUAAUUCACUAAUUUUCUUUUUUCUUUUCUUUUCUUUCUCUUUUUUUUUUUUUUUUUUUUUUUUUUUUUUGAGACAGGGUCGCACUCUUGUUGCCCAGGCUGGAGUGCAGUGGCACAAUCUCAGCUCACUGCAACCUCUGCCUCCCAGGUUCAAGCAAUUCUCGUGCCUCAGACUCCUGAGUAGAUGGGAUUACGGGUGCACACCAUCACGCACGGGUAAUUUUUGUAUUUUUAGUAGAGACGGGGUUUCACCAUGUUAGCCAGGCUGGUCUCGACCUGCGGCACUAAUUUUCUGUCAAAACAGAGACCUCUCAAACUAGUUAUAUUUCUAGAUAAAUUUUAGAUAUUCCAGAAGAUCCAGAAUCAACUCUAAUACAACACAUCCUAAAUCAAAUUCAUUCUCCCCUAAUCAUCUUCCUUUCGAUCUUUCAUAUUUGUCAAUGACACUCCAUAAGCAGGUAUGCUGAAAGCACUCGUUCUUUUUUGUUCUCGCUCCAUCUCAUAUCAAUGCGAUAAAUCACCAUGUUUUAUCUUUCUUUUUUUUUUUUUUUUUUUUUUUUUUGAGACAGAGUCUCGCUCUGUCUCCAUGCUGGAGUGUAGUGGCGCAAUCUGGGCUCACUGCAACCCCCGCCUCCCGGUUCAAGCGAUUCUCCUGCCUCAGCCUCCUGAGUAGCUGGGACUACAGGCGUGCACCCACCAUGCCCAGCUAAUUUUUGUAUUUUUAGUAGAGACGGGAUUUCACCUUGUUGGCCAGGAUGGUCUUGAUCUCUUGACCUUGUGAUCCAUCUGCCUCGGCCUCCCAAAGUGCUGGGAUUACAGGUGUGAGCCACCGCACCCGACCUAUGUUUUAUCUUUCUAUCUUUGAAAUAUGUCAUUUCUGUCAUUGUUCUAAAUGUUUUAUUAUGCAUUAUUUGAUAAUAGAAAAAUAUAUAUUCUAACAGAUAUAUCCUAUACAUGUUAUAUAUAUUCUAAAUAUUCUAACAUAUAUAGUUAGAAACCAUAGGCGUAAGAAGACUAGUGAAAUCACUGUCUGUAAAGACACUCUAUAAAUUCUUUCCAGAUCUUGUUUCCUCAUAUAUCUAAACAUAACCACUCUCCUGAAUUUGUGUGAAUUACUUCCUUACUAUUAAAACUGCUUUAUCAAAUGUAUGUAUUUGUAAAGAAAGAAUAUAUGGUUUAAUUUUGCUUGUCUUUGAACUUCAUAAAAAUGAUAUAUUCAGCAAUCCAUUUUUUAAAAUCUGUAACUCAUAUAGCUGUAGUCUAUUCCUUUUCACUGUCAAAUAACAACUUGCAAUGUUGGAUAUACCACAGUUAAUUUAUCUAUUAUGUUAGUGAUCAUUUUGAUUUUUUCCAUGUUUUUGCUUUUGUGAACAAUGCUACCAUGAAUAUUCCGUUUUAGGGUAUGUUUCUUGUCACCUAUUUGCAAGAAUUUCUUCAAGAUAUAUUCCUGGGAUUGAAAAACUUAUUGCAAGUUACAUACUUGUUCAGACUUAGAAGAUGGUGCCAGUUUGUGUUCUAGACUGAUUGUACCAAUUUAUGCUCCUCCUAGCACUAUGCAAGAGUCCUACUGCCUCAUGUGAUGGUUAGUUAUAUGUAACAACUUGACUGGCCAUGGGGUACCCAGAUAUUUGUUUAAAUAUUAUUUCUGGGUGUGUCUGUGAGUGUGUUGCUGGAUGAUACUAGCAUUUGAAUUGGCAGGCUGAAUAAAGCAGAUUGCCCUCCCCAUCAGCCAAUUCAUUGUAUAGGCAUCAUCCAGUUCACUCAAGGCGUGAAUAGAACAAAAAGGUGGAGGAAGGGAGAAUUUACUGAUUCUUCCUGACUGAUUGAGCUGAGACAUUAGUCUUCUGCUCUCACACUAGAACUUAACACCAUUGGCUCUCCGGGUUCUCAAGCUUUUAGGCCUAGACUUGAACUUACACUGUCAGCUUUCCUCGUUUUAAGGCCUUUGGACUCAGGCUGGAACUAUACCACUGACUUUCCUAAGUCUCUAGCUUGCAGAUGGCAGAUUGUGGGGCUUCUCAGCCUCCAUAAUCACAUGAACCAAUUUUUUAUAAUACAUCUCUUCAUAUAUAUAUAUAUAUAUAUAUAUAUAUAUCUUUAUAUAAAAUAUAAUAUAUACAUAUGUUAGCUAGAUCCUAUUGGUUCUGUUUCUUUGGAGAACCCUGACUAACAUUCUUCAUAUGUUCACCAACACUUGACACUUGAUAUUUUUUAAGUCGGAGUCUCACGUCACCCAGGCUGGAGUGCAGUGGUGGGAUCAUAGCUCACUGGAACCUCAAACUCUUGAGCUCAAGUGAUCUGCCCACCUCAGCCUCCCAAGUAGCUGGAACUACAGGCACAUGGCACCAUACUCAACCCAGUUAAAAAAAAUUGUGGAGUAGGGGCCUUUCCAAGGAUAGUCUUGAACUCCUAGCCUCAAGUGAUCUUCCUGCCUUUGUGUCCCAAAGCACUAGGAUUACGGGCAUAAGCCACCACACCCAGUCUCCAACACUUGAUAUUGUCAGACUUCUUAAUGUUUGACCUGAUGGGUACAAGUGCACAUCUCAUGGCCCCACUAUGUUGCCCAGGUUGUUCUUGAACUCCUGGGCUCAUAUAAUCCUCUUGCCUUAGCCUCCCCAAAUGUUGGGAUUACAGGCAUGAGUCACUGAAUCUGGCCUUCUUUAGGAGAAUUUUAGCUAUCUUAGGCCUUUGCUUUACCAUAUAACCCCCUAGAGUCACAUUUUCAUUAACCCUAUUGCACUUUCCUGCCUGCAAUUAAAUAAUGAAUAUGUGUGUGUAUUUAUUCAUUAUUUAUGUUUCCUAAUCUAUGAAAUGCCUCUUUAUGCCUAUUGCCCAGAUUUCUAUUAUUGUGUUUAUCUUUUUCUUGAUUCGAUGGAAGUGUCUUCUAUCUUGGCUCUUAAUCCUAAUUCAUUUGUGAUUAUAAGUGCUGAAUAUAUCUUCUCUCAGAAUAUAAUUAUUUUUUAUCUUUAUAGUGUCUCGUGAUUAACAGGACAUUAAUUUUAAUGCAGUCAAAUGUAUUAAUUAUCCUUUUAUGGUCAGCACUAUUUGUGUCUGGUGUAAGAAGUCCUUCUCAACCCCAAGAUCAGAAAGAUAUUCUUCUGAUGUUCUUUUUAAAGUACAAAUGCUUUGCUUUUCAUAUUUAAAUUAAUAAUAUACCUGGGAUUGAUUUUUAUGAUGGUAUAACGUAGGAAUCUAAUUUCGUUUUCCAUAUGGGUAACCAGUUUUCCCAGCUUUAUUUAUUGAAAAUCCACUGUUCUAAUGAGAACAUUUGGACACAGGGUGGGGAACAUCACACACCAGGGCCUGUCGUGGGGUGGGGGGAGGGGAGAGGGAUAGCAUUAGGAGAUAUACCUAAUGUAAAUGACGAGUUAAUGGGUGCAGCACACCAACAUGGCACAUGUAUACAUAUGUAACAAACCUGCACACGUACCUUAGAACUUAAAGUAUAAUUAAAAAAAAAAAGAAAAUCCCAUGUUGUUUUACACAUUUCUAUAAAUGGAUAGGUUUAUUUUUAGGGUCUGUAAUCUGGUCCAUUGUUUAAUUUCUUUAUUCCUGAGCCAAUAACCUCCCGUUUAAUAACUAGUGAGUACCCUGCUCCUUACUGUUCUUCUUCAGGAUAAUUUUUUUUUUUUUUUGAGACAGGGUUUCACUCUGUUGCCCAGGCUGGCAUGCAGUGGUAUGAUCAUGGCUCACUGUAGCCUCAACCUCCCUGACUCAAGUGAUCCUCCCACCUCAGCCUCUCAAGUAGCUGGGACUACAGGCAUACACCACCAUGCCUGGCUAAUUUUUAAAAUUUUUUGUAGCAACUAAGUCCUACUAUGUUGCCCAGGUUGGUCUGGAACUCCUGGGCUCAAGCAAUCCUCUUGCUUUGGCCUCCUCACAUGCUGGGAUUACAGGCAUAAGCCACUGUGCCUGGCCUUCUUUAGGAGAAUUUUGGCUGUCUUGAGCCUUUGCUUUACCAUGUAACUUUUAGCAUCACAUUUUCAUUAACCCUGUUGUGAUUUUGAUUGAAAAUGCAUAUAUUACUUUGGGCAGAUGAUAUCUUUAUAGAUCAUAUAUUAGCAUUAUUUUUAUUUAGAUUGUCUUUUAUGUCUUUCAAUAAAAAUUUUAAAAAUCUCCACUUAGAAUUCAUUUACCUAUGUUAAAUUUAUUCCUAGUUACCUUAUACAUCUUACUGCUAUUGUAAAUGGCAUCUCUUUUCUAAUUUAUAUGUUCUGGUCUUUUGCUCGUAUAUAGUUGAUGCAGUAGAUUUUGUAGAUUGAUCUUAUAUUCAACCACUUAACAAAACUUGUUAAUUUGUCAGUAUAAUUUAUGUUAUUAUUAUUUCUAAGCAAAUGAUUCCACAUAGCAUGCUGUGCUAGGCACUAUUCAGAACACUAAAUAUUUAUCACAACAGCCCUUUUAAGCAGGGUCAUUUUUCAUCUCCAUUUUACUCACAAGGAAAUUAACCACAAAGAGAUUAAAUCAUUAGCUCAAAGCCACAAAUUACCAUCUGAACACAGAAGGGAGGACUUAAACCCAGGCAGUUGAUUUCUAAGCUCCAUGCUCACCAAGAGCUUUGCUGCCUCUCUGCUAGGCUAUCCAGUUGUGAUCCUUCCCUUUCCUUCCCUGCCC